RNAcentral lists this transfer RNA (73 nucleotides) under Propionibacteriaceae bacterium. RNAcentral describes it as "tRNA-Leu". It matches the Rfam family "tRNA". From Rfam's summary of the family: Transfer RNA (tRNA) molecules are approximately 80 nucleotides in length. Their secondary structure includes four short double-helical elements and three loops (D, anti-codon, and T loops). Further hydrogen bonds mediate the characteristic L-shaped molecular structure. tRNAs have two regions of fundamental functional importance: the anti-codon, which is responsible for specific mRNA codon recognition, and the 3' end, to which the tRNAs corresponding amino acid is attached (by aminoacyl-tRNA synthetases). tRNAs cope with the degeneracy of the genetic code in two manners: having more than one tRNA (with a specific anti-codon) for a particular amino acid; and 'wobble' base-pairing, i.e. permitting non-standard base-pairing at the 3rd anti-codon position. The record is from RNAcentral. Lineage: Bacteria; Bacillati; Actinomycetota; Actinomycetes; Propionibacteriales; Propionibacteriaceae.
GCCCUCGUAGCCCAACGGCAGAGGCAGGCGGCUUAAACCCGCUGUGUUACGGGUUCGAUUCCCGUCGAGGGCA